This is a long non-coding RNA of Magnolia sinica, 496 nucleotides long. RefSeq lists it as uncharacterized. Lineage: Eukaryota; Viridiplantae; Streptophyta; Magnoliopsida; Magnoliales; Magnoliaceae. The record is from RefSeq and is a predicted model, not a curated record. The transcript is spliced from 3 exons.
CCGUGGUCCAUCAUAUCAACCUCUCAUUGCUUUCGGAUUCUGUUUAGUUUCUAGUUUGUGAUUCUACCAGAUUUCUUGACGCUUUGUAUGUAAUUCAUGUUCAAUAAAGGAAUGAGAAAUGGCUAGUAUCUUCCUAUUGCAUUUUGAUCAUGAAUGCAUGUUUACCUAUCAGUUUUUGAUGGCUUGUGAUUUGUUUGUUUACUUCCUAAAGCAUUGAUAUUAAUUUUGCACGCCAUCCCUUUUGUCAACAGAUAUUGUUCUUCUCGUGACAACAUGACCAUCGAUCAAGUUUUGCCGGUUUCACGAGGCGGUGAAUGGAAUUGGGAAAAUCUGGUUACGGCUUGUGCAAAAUGCAAUUCAAGAAAAAGGGUAGAAGACUCUGGAGGAAGCAAAAAUGAAGCUGUUUAAGGUCCCAAGGGCCCCAAAAGACUUCGACAUACUGGCAAUACCCCUGACAACAACAGCACUACGGAUGCUUAAGAUGAGAAGAGGGAUG